This 113-nucleotide ribosomal RNA is filed under the name Segatella copri. Lineage: Bacteria; Pseudomonadati; Bacteroidota; Bacteroidia; Bacteroidales; Prevotellaceae. The record is from RNAcentral.
UCAGGUGGUUAUUGCGGUGAGGUCCCACCUCUUCCCAUUCCGAACAGAGAAGUUAAGUUCACUUGCGCCGAUGGUACUGCAAUGCAAUGCGGGAGAGUAGGUAGCCGCCUCCU